This 301-nucleotide ribosomal RNA is filed under the name uncultured bacterium. RNAcentral's name for it is "partial 16S ribosomal RNA". It matches the Rfam family "Bacterial small subunit ribosomal RNA", at positions 509 to 807 of the family's 1533-position model. The record is from RNAcentral.
CAGUCGCCGCGGGAAUACGUAGGGUGCAAGCGUUAAUCGGAAUUACUGGGCGUAAAGCGCACGCAGGCGGUCUGUCAAGUCAGAUGUGAAAUCCCCGGGCUUAACCUGGGAACUGCAUUUGAAACUGGCAGGCUAGAGUCUUGUAGAGGGGGGUAGAAUUCCAGGUGUAGCGGUGAAAUGCGUAGAGAUCUGGAGGAAUACCGGUGGCGAAGGCGGCCCCCUGGACAAAGACUGACGCUCAGGUGCGAAAGCGUGGGGAGCAAACAGGAUUAGAUACCCGUGUAGUCCCUGUCUCUUAUAC